AACGAACGCUGGCGGCAUGCCUAACACAUGCAAGUCGAACGAGACCUUCGGGUCUAGUGGCGCCCGGGUGCGUAACGCGUGGGAACCUGCCCUUAGGUUCGGAAUAACUCCCCGAAAGGGGUGCUAAUACCGGAUAAUGUCUUCGGACCAAAGAUUUAUCGCCUUUGGAUGGGCCCGCGUUGGAUUAGCUAGUUGGUAGGGUAAAAGCCUACCAAGGCGACGAUCCAUAGCUGGUCUGAGAGGAUGAUCAGCCACACUGGGACUGAGACACGGCCCAGACUCCUACGGGAGGCAGCAGUGGGGAAUAGUGGACAAUGGGCGAAAGCAUGAUCGAGCAAUGACGCGUGAGUGAUGAAGGCAGUAGGGUUGUAAAGCUCUUUUAACCGGGAUGAUAAUGACAGUACCGGGAGAAUAAGCUCCGGCUAACUCCGUG
RNAcentral lists this ribosomal RNA (433 nucleotides) under uncultured bacterium. Its description in RNAcentral is "partial 16S ribosomal RNA". It matches the Rfam family "Bacterial small subunit ribosomal RNA", at positions 29 to 507 of the family's 1533-position model. The record is from RNAcentral.